This 446-nucleotide ribosomal RNA is filed under the name uncultured bacterium. RNAcentral's name for it is "partial 16S ribosomal RNA". It matches the Rfam family "Bacterial small subunit ribosomal RNA", at positions 338 to 795 of the family's 1533-position model. The record is from RNAcentral.
CCUACGGGGGGCAGCAGUCGAGAAUCAUUCACAAUGGGGGAAACCCUGAUGGUGCGACGCCGCGUGGGGGAAUGAAGGUCUUCGGAUUGUAAACCCCUGUCAUGUGGGAGCAAAUUAAAAAGAUAGUACCACAAGAGGAAGAGACGGCUAACUCUGUGCCAGCAGCCGCGGUAAUACAGAGGUCUCAAGCGUUGUUCGGAAUCACUGGGGGUAAAGGGUGCGUAGGCUGUUUCGUAAGUCGUGUGUGAAAGGCGCGGGCUCAACCCGCGGACGGCACAUGAUACUGGGGGACUAGAGUAAUGGAGGGGGAACCGGAAUUCUCGGUGUAGCAGUGAAAUGCGUAGAUAUCGAGAGGAACACUCGUGGCGAAGGCGGGUUCCUGGACAUUAACUGACGCUGAGGCACGAAGGCCAGGGGAGCGAAAGGGAUUAGAUACCCUAGUAGUC